GGCUGGUUAGCUCAGUCAGUUGAGCGUGGUGCUAACGACGCUAAGGUUGCGGGUUCGACUCCCGUUCGGUCC
This is a non-coding RNA of Apaloderma vittatum (bar-tailed trogon), 72 nucleotides long. NCBI's taxonomy places the organism in Eukaryota, Metazoa, Chordata, Aves, Trogoniformes, Trogonidae. The record is from Rfam.